AAAAAAAAAAAACUAUUUAAAGCAGGCAGGAUUUGAAGCCAAUAUGGAAAAGAUGAAGUUUGGAAGAAGAGCAACACAAGAUGGUAUA
Molecule: long non-coding RNA, 88 nt
Filed under: Monodelphis domestica (gray short-tailed opossum)
Lineage: Eukaryota; Metazoa; Chordata; Mammalia; Didelphimorphia; Didelphidae
Description: lncRNA (ENSMODG00000042323.1)
Source: RNAcentral